RNAcentral lists this long non-coding RNA (325 nucleotides) under Citrus maxima (pomelo). RNAcentral describes it as "long non-coding RNA (CMAX_LNC000357)". Lineage: Eukaryota; Viridiplantae; Streptophyta; Magnoliopsida; Sapindales; Rutaceae. The record is from RNAcentral.
UUAUUGUUUUCGCCAUUCGGAGCAACAGUAGCAGAGAUGAAGAAUUGAAGAUUGGCCAGACAAAGAUGAAGUCUGUUAUGGUUUAUUUUCUUGUAAGGGCUGGAAUCAGGUAUAUAUAUAGUUUUGAUUGUUAUAAGCUCUUUAUGGAAAAAGAUGGUUUCUGAUUGUGAUGAAAUUGAUCAGCUGGUGGGUGCCAAAUUAUCUGUUGGCUACAACCACCUGGGAAACAAUGAUUGCAUGAAACUCUCAGCCCAACCUAUCAUUCCAAAAGCCGCAUCAUCUCCAGCAGUCAUGUACUUUGAGCCCAGUGAACACCCCAACCGCC